This 72-nucleotide transfer RNA is filed under the name Bos taurus (domestic cattle). It matches the Rfam family "tRNA". Rfam says of the family: Transfer RNA (tRNA) molecules are approximately 80 nucleotides in length. Their secondary structure includes four short double-helical elements and three loops (D, anti-codon, and T loops). Further hydrogen bonds mediate the characteristic L-shaped molecular structure. tRNAs have two regions of fundamental functional importance: the anti-codon, which is responsible for specific mRNA codon recognition, and the 3' end, to which the tRNAs corresponding amino acid is attached (by aminoacyl-tRNA synthetases). tRNAs cope with the degeneracy of the genetic code in two manners: having more than one tRNA (with a specific anti-codon) for a particular amino acid; and 'wobble' base-pairing, i.e. permitting non-standard base-pairing at the 3rd anti-codon position. The record is from Rfam by way of RNAcentral. RNAcentral also lists the same sequence under 5 other names. Lineage: Eukaryota; Metazoa; Chordata; Mammalia; Artiodactyla; Bovidae.
UUCCUGGUGGUCUACUGGUUAGGAUUCAGGGCUUUCAUUGCUGUGGCCCAGGUUUAAUCCCUGGAUGGGAAA